This is a long non-coding RNA of Bombyx mori (domestic silkworm), 1283 nucleotides long. RefSeq lists it as uncharacterized. The transcript is spliced from 3 exons. Lineage: Eukaryota; Metazoa; Arthropoda; Insecta; Lepidoptera; Bombycidae. The record is from RefSeq and is a predicted model, not a curated record.
GUCUGUCUUUGUUAAUAUUUUUUAUAGUGUAGUCUUGGUGAAAUUUGUGAUUAUAGAAAAUUCAGGGGUGUCCAACAUUUUUAAUCAAUGAGCCAAUUUUUUUUUUCUUUUCGGCGUGCCGCUCAUUCAUUAACUCUUAAUAAUUUACGAAACUUUAUUUCUUUUUUAAAAACUAACAAGAAAAGAACAAAAAAAGGAAUUGAUGGGAGAAAGUCGAUAAAAUAAAUUCAAUAUUAGAAAUGCUUGACGGGCCGAGUGUUGCUCAUGCUCACUUUAGAUCGUGCAAAUCAUAGCACCAAAAGCGGAUCAAGUAAAAGAAACAUCAAAAGAUAUAUAAUGGAUAUACUACUGGAGAUAUAAUCCAAGUAGGAUGACAUCGGGAAAGCGGCUAGACGGGAAACUCAUGCCAAAUCCCUAAGCAGCUAUGACAAGAGGGCAUGCUACUCCAACGCCACAUAAUGUGGAAUAAGGGCAGGAAAAAGAAGAAGAAGUCACCGCAGGAUGAGGAGUAUACAGCUUACGGGCUGGUGAGCGAGCGGUCAACGUCACUCAUGGAGGUCUGUAAUACCAGGGGAAUAAUCAAGCUGCUGUGUACCACUGUAUUAGGGCUGCUAACCUAGAAAUUGUUGAUGCUUCUGAAUACGAUGAAGUCCGAAGACAGAUCCCGGAGUACACCGAUGGAGGUCGUCCCUAGAGAUCAUGGGGAUCGGUACUGGAAAUGAAGAUAAUCAAACUCAGCUUAAAUUCAAGCAUGGUGUCCAAAAGCACGCGGCAGGGAUGAAAAUUAGCGCCUUUUGCCUCCUAUUUUUCUUAAAAACCCGUAUCAAAACUUUUUGUUGGGGAACUUAUCGGGAAGUGUUGAUAUGAGUAUCGACAAAAAACUUGGACAUUAUCAUGUUGUUAACGAAUUCAAGUGAACCUGACGGUAAAAACUAUAGGUAGCUCAUCUAUGCGAAGCAAAAAUAGAUUAUUAAUUCCUUUUUUUUUGUUAAAACAAUGACAUAAUUAAAUAUUUUGUAAGUGGCAAGAUGACAGGCGAAAUAUUGGCAACAUUGAACGCAGAUAAUCUGUGAUUUCACAAUAAGAUUAUGUUGUUAUAAAAUCAAAAUCAAUCAAUAUCGAUUAAUUUGCAAUACCGUGACCCGCAUCAUCUAACACGCGAUUGCUAUCUUUUUGGUUUAUACCAUAACACGACGUAUUAUAUGGCAAAUGUUUGUUUGUAAUAUACAGUUUAUAUUCUAUAUAUGUAGUUCAAUGCAUACAGAAAUAAACAUAUCUAAUAC